Oncorhynchus keta (chum salmon) is the source of this 897-nucleotide RNA transcript. It is a transcript of the gene named COMM domain-containing protein 3-like, with no coding region annotated. The record is from RefSeq and is a predicted model, not a curated record. The transcript has 8 exons. Lineage: Eukaryota; Metazoa; Chordata; Actinopteri; Salmoniformes; Salmonidae.
GAUCGCGUCACGUGAUCCGGUGUCGUGGGUCAUUCCUCUCUCAAAAUGGAGUUGUCUGAGUCCGUGCAGAAAGGGCUGCAGUCUCUAGCAGACGCGACGUUUUUCGACAUGAAAACCUUCUCAGUGUUCAUAGAAGUGGCAUUUCGCAGUUUGCUAUCAGCCCAUGCAGAUCGUAGUGUUCUCGAUCAGCCUGAAUUUAAACGUCUUGACCAGAAGUUGCUGAAACAUUGUCAUACUGCUGCCACGACCUGCAUACUGGAGGGGGUCAAACAAAAUGCUGACAAAUCCACUAUAAGUGCGUGCCUGGAGGAUGUUGGUUUUGAUGCGGAGAGAACAGAAGUUUUCUACACUACGUACCAGAAAUGUAGAAGUGAUCUGGAAACUCUAUUGUCAAGUUUAGGGAGAUGCCCACCUCAUAUCAAUGACGUGUCCUGGCGCCUGGAGUACUGUAUCAAGCUCCAACUUUGUUUCCAUGACAGAACGGGCAUGUGCAUAAGGUCAACGAGCCGUCCUAUCUGAUUUCAUUAAACGUUGAGAAUGCCAACAACGGAGGAUCGUCAGAAGAUCUACAUUUUAGCUGCACGAUGGAGCAACUUCAGGAUUUGGUGGGAAAGAUGAAAGACGCUGCCAAGAGUCUCGAGAAGGCUACGCAGUUGUAAACUUGCGUUGUGCUCGAAGCGUCCUGCAAGAACUGUGGAAUCCGGUGUCUCACGUGACCCCUCUCCUCUUCUCAUCUGCUCCACUCUUCUCAAAGCAAUGAAGUUCAGCGAUUUCAAGCGGUGUUGAUAUUAUUUGUAUCCGCAUUGUAUUUUAUACUAAUUUCUUUCAUAAGUAUAUAUAAUGUUGGUUGUCCGUUCUGCAAAGAUGUAUUGUUAUCAAUAAAUACGUUCAAUGAAA